This 82-nucleotide transfer RNA is filed under the name Coemansia spiralis. RNAcentral's name for it is "tRNA-Ser". It matches the Rfam family "tRNA". From Rfam's summary of the family: Transfer RNA (tRNA) molecules are approximately 80 nucleotides in length. Their secondary structure includes four short double-helical elements and three loops (D, anti-codon, and T loops). Further hydrogen bonds mediate the characteristic L-shaped molecular structure. tRNAs have two regions of fundamental functional importance: the anti-codon, which is responsible for specific mRNA codon recognition, and the 3' end, to which the tRNAs corresponding amino acid is attached (by aminoacyl-tRNA synthetases). tRNAs cope with the degeneracy of the genetic code in two manners: having more than one tRNA (with a specific anti-codon) for a particular amino acid; and 'wobble' base-pairing, i.e. permitting non-standard base-pairing at the 3rd anti-codon position. The record is from RNAcentral. RNAcentral also lists the same sequence under 16 other names. Lineage: Eukaryota; Fungi; Kickxellomycota; Kickxellomycetes; Kickxellales; Kickxellaceae.
GUCAGUUUGGCCGAGUGGUUAAGGCGACAGACUAGAAAUCUGUUGGGCAUUGCCCGCACAGGUUCAAAUCCUGUAGCUGACG